RNAcentral lists this ribosomal RNA (262 nucleotides) under Escherichia coli. RNAcentral's name for it is "partial 16S ribosomal RNA". It matches the Rfam family "Bacterial small subunit ribosomal RNA", at positions 1 to 259 of the family's 1533-position model. Lineage: Bacteria; Pseudomonadati; Pseudomonadota; Gammaproteobacteria; Enterobacterales; Enterobacteriaceae. The record is from RNAcentral.
AAAUUGAAGAGUUUGAUCAUGGCUCAGAUUGAACGCUGGCGGCAGGCCUAACACAUGCAAGUCGAACGGUAACAGGAAGAAGCUUGCUUCUUUGCUGACGAGUGGCGGACGGGUGAGUAAUGUCUGGGAAACUGCCUGAUGGAGGGGGAUAACUACUGGAAACGGUAGCUAAUACCGCAUAACGUCGCAAGACCAAAGAGGGGGACCCUCGGGCCUCUUGCCAUCGGAUGUGCCCAGAUGGGAUUAGCUUGUUGGUGGGGUA